CAGCAGCCGCGGGAAUACGAAGGGUGCAAGCGUUAAUCGGAAUUACUGGGCGUAAAGCGUGCGUAGGCGGUUUGUUAAGUCUGUUGUGAAAUCCCCGGGCUCAACCUGGGAAUGGCAAUGGAUACUGGCAAGCUAGAGUGUGUCAGAGGAUGGUGGAAUUCCCGGUGUAGCGGUGAAAUGCGUAGAGAUCGGGGGGAACAUCAGUGGCGAAGGCGGCCAUCUGGGACAACACUGACGCUGAGGCACGAAAGCGUGGGGAGCAAACAGGAUUAGAUAUCACCGUAGUCCCUGUCUCUUAUAC
This 301-nucleotide ribosomal RNA is filed under the name uncultured bacterium. Its description in RNAcentral is "partial 16S ribosomal RNA". It matches the Rfam family "Bacterial small subunit ribosomal RNA", at positions 509 to 807 of the family's 1533-position model. The record is from RNAcentral.